GGAGAGUGACGUCCGGGCCCCGCCUCCCCCUCCGGCCACGUGCAAAGACUUGAAAGGAAAGAGGGAGACCGCGAGCCUGCUGGAUACAAGCCAGCAGAGCUGACCUAGUGGGAAGGAAUCCUGACCUCAUCCUAAAAUGGGAAAUAGGUUCUUUUGUCUUCAAGGAACUUUGGCCGAUUUCUGUGCUUUCCCCAUCUGCUGACUGAGCUCCCUCACACUGGUUGAGGACCACUGGGAAGCCAGAAAAGGCUCUGCUGGAGAAGAUGGCUGCCUUCAGGAGUUGAGAGUCCAUCUUGAUGCCCAGGAAAGGAAUGAAGCUCCCCCCACACCACUCCCAAUCUGCCACUCAUAUAAGGUGACUUCCUGUGAACUAAAGAUCCAAGGGGCUACAAUGGUCAAAAAAGAGAGGAAAAUGGAACCACAGCCACUCGUACUUUCUCACUGGAAGGAAGUCAACAGAAGCCCCGCUUGACAGGGGGGUAGCACUUGCCUGGGAACACAGCAAAAACAAUGGCAUUUGGUGGGAGCUGGAGUGGCUUCACUGUGUACUGUGGUGACUGCUAGCCCCACAGAAGGAAGGUGUCUUCUGGUGUCUGUUCUGUGUUGUGGUGGUGUUGGCCUAGAGAGAUACAGACUUGAUAGACCCAGGUUGAAUUUCACUCCUGCCUCAUCUCGGCUCCCAUUACACAACCCCAAAGACCAUCCUUGAUGGGAAAGAAGAUGCAAAUCGAUCCCAGAGGCGGCCAUCGGUUGAGAGGGGGGCAUGAGCAAAGAACUGUGAACUUGAGAGGAGCCAAAGUAAAAAAAGAAAAUUAGGUAAAUCAAGGAGUGUUUAUUGGGAACGGGCUCUGCAGAAGUCAUGGCAAGGUGCCUGAGAGGUUCUGGGUACCACCUGACCCCCGCUCACUGUGUGACACUGCCUUCCUCUGGGCCUCGGUUCUUAUAUCUGUAAGACGACACCACUGGAUCUGAUCUCUGAGAUUAUCUCCCUUUAAGAAGUUUGCAAUCUUUUGGCAAAAGGGGCGGUAGAAUUAAGUAGCCAAGAGGCUGAAUUUUCAUCCUGGAAGAAAUUUCAACCUGCAAGAAGGGCUUGAAGGAGCCCAAACGGAAAUAAAGCAAGCAGACUUUGCCUGGUAAGAUUCGAGGACAACAGGAAUCAACAGACCUUUCUCAGGGCCCUGAGAGUUAAAGGUCAGAUCUCAGGUCAGUGAUGUGAACUUCUGUGCUUGGCCUUGAUGAGGGAUUGGGGGAAAGUAGACAGAUGCAUCCCUGUAAAAGAUAGUGUCUCUUUUUUUGUUUGCCAGGUUACUCAAAAGAAAGGGAAUUAUUGUCCCCUUGGAAGGGUAGCCAAGGCUAAUUAAACCAGAGGUGUAUACCUGAUCCAGUGGCUAGGUUGACCGGGCUCCAUCGAAUUGAGCCAACCCAAUUUCUUCCUGCAAGAAUUUUAGGGAAAAGACUGAAGAACUGUCCACUGCUGAUAGCUCCUUAAGUCAAGGCCUGUGGCCAAGGUGGUCUGGCCCAAUAAAAGGAAGCCAAAGAAGUGCUCAUCGAGGGAAGGCAGAAGAUGAGGGAGAGAGGAUGAAGGGAAGCUGCCCAGAACAGCCUGGUCCCUCACUCUCACUCCCUGGCUCCCUGGUCUCUGCAUCUAUAUUGUGAUCUCCAUAGCUUUGUGUCAGGUUACAUAGGUACAGACACGAGUUCAACCAGCAGCUAUCUUCUCCCAAAACUCCCCUUUCUCUUUAAGUCAUAGGUGGUAUAUCUCCCUUCAACCGGUUUACACGUCCUGUCCACUAAUGCUUUACUCUGAGCUUCGUCUUCGAAGCAACUUCGCUUCAAACCUUCCACACCUCUAAUACUUUUCAGAGAACAAUAACCAAUUUAUUAACUAAACAGAUUAAAAUACCGAGUUCCAUAACAGGUAGGAAGCUGGCGGUCUGUAGGAGCUGUGAACAGGGCCAGCGAGCUUAGGUCCAUCCCACAUCUCAAAACGUCAGGUUCAGCUACACGAAACCACAGCGUAUCAUCCGUCUUCGCUGGCACACUUACAAUAAGGUCUCUUUAUUCUCUCCUGAGACCACAGUGGUGUGAGGUCUGUCAAGAGUGGCGAUCCUGGGUCACCUAUACCAACAGCUCAACAGCCGGAAGAAAGGUCAGGUGCCAUUAAAAAUGUUUGCCUCUGGGCUGGAGAGAUGGCUCUGUGGUUAAGAGACCUGGCUGCUCUUCCAGAGCUCCUGAGUUCAAUUCCC
This 2246-nucleotide small RNA is filed under the name Rattus norvegicus (Norway rat). RNAcentral describes it as "uncharacterized LOC102548225". The record is from RNAcentral. Lineage: Eukaryota; Metazoa; Chordata; Mammalia; Rodentia; Muridae.